Molecule: long non-coding RNA, 5263 nt
Organism: Dreissena polymorpha
Lineage: Eukaryota; Metazoa; Mollusca; Bivalvia; Myida; Dreissenidae
Exons: 2
Source: RefSeq, a predicted model, not a curated record
UACUAUCCACAGGGGGCACCUGUUGUACGUUAACACUAGAUUAUCACCGUCGCAACAAUCGCUUUAGUGGGAUAUGCUCUCUUUUCGGCAGAUAUUUUAAGCGUCUGGGUAACGUUUAUUGAGCGUCUGUCAUUUACACUAAAUAAGCGUCUGGAUGAUCUCGAACAUUGUUUUGAUGGCAAGUAUACCAAUAAGCUGAAAUAAUUCGCGUUCAGAAUAAAUCUGAGAGUCUGCCAAAUCAAAAAUCAUCAAAAGACUCUAAGGCGGCAAUUAAUAUUGACUAGUAUACCAAUUAACACUGUACUGUCAGAUGUCAUAACUAUGGUAACAUUAUAUAAGUAGACGUUUCUCGCGGUAUGUAAUACAGCGCAUAGGGACCGUUAAGUAAAAAUAUGAAAUUAUUCUCGGUUUGAGAAAUACGGUAUAGUAUGGUUUAAUACGUGUUAUUUAGAAGAGAGAUUAUGGUAAUGGUUUAGCGCGUAUAAUGCACGGGUUUUGUGUGCAUGUUUUAGCGCGAAAGCGCACGAGUUUUUCGUUUUGGGUUAUAUAUGAUUUGCACAUCUAGUGAGACGCCAUUCGAGGGUUGUUUUUGACAGGCAAAGUUAUGGAGCAAGAAAACGAAAGGGUGAUAAAGUAGUUUAGGCGUUCAUUUGCGAAAUACAUAGUAUUCGGAAGGAGAUUUUCGAUGAGAGGACUGAUUCUCUGCUAGAAGCGGAAUGGUGAGCUGGAACUUCGAACAAAGAAGCUGGACAGUUCGAAGAAUAAAUAAUGAAUAGUGUAACAUUAUAGUAAGAGGGCAGCUCGAAAGGUAUAAAAAAAAAUUGUUUUUUUUUGUGUAAUUAUGUGUUAGAAAAUAACUUGUUAAGAUUAAUAAUGAUGCUUUUAUUGAUGAUGAUGAUGUUAUAAAUGUUGAUGAUGAUGCUAACGUUAUUGAUGAGGAGGAGGAAUAGUUGACAGUAUUUUUGUGAAUGGAUAAUACUACAUUAACGAAUUUUGAGUGAAUGAAAUUAUUUUAGGUUUGAUAAAUACCGAAUGAUGUUGGUCUAUACAUAUUAUUUAGAAGAGAAAGUGAGUAUGGUUAUUGUUUAGCACGUAAAAAUGAACGAGUUUCUAGGUUUUGCGUUUAAUUGAACAAAAACAAGUAACGGUUCAGCAACAGGGAUUAUUCUCAGAUGGUACAUGUAUUCCUUUUAGAGUCACAGAAAUUCAACUUUGCAUCAAUACCGGUUUUCUUUGAGAUUUGUUUGAUGGGUUAAAAUUCCAAAAAUUUAUGAGUUUUGCAGCCGACCAAGUACCUAUAGCUUUGUAUUUGAGUGUGUUAAGCAUUUUGUUGUUUUCAAAUUAGUAAAUCAAAAUUAAUACGGUGUUCUAGUAUAUCAAUUGAGCUUAUGCUAUUGCCAUGGAAAUUUGAGCCAGGGUUCGAUCAGUAGCUUAAAGUAUGUCUGUGUUGGUGAAUUGAACCUAAAAACAAAUGUCAAGUCGGUAGUUUUAAUUUUAAGAGCAGAACAUACGUAUUGAUUGUGAGAACAUUAGUAAAAUGUGUUUGGUAUUUGUGCAUGUCUCUUGUGGUCAUUGGACCAAGUUGUUUAAGGCCAAUUGGCCUGAUUUUGAAAGCCAGUUGGCUUGUAUGGUCAGUUGACCGUUUUUAAAGCCAUUCUAUAUGGUGUGUGAAAGCCUGUUGGCUUGUGUUGUCAGGUUACCGAACAUUCUUGGAACGAAAGUCUCAUAGAAUUUACAAUAUUUGCAAGAUUAUUGUUUGCAAUGCAGUAACUGGACAGUUCGAAUAGUAUAUUAAGUAUUGAAGAACAUAAAGGUAUGGUUUAUGUAGUAUGUUAUUAUUAUUACUAGGAUUAUUAUGAUGUAUUUUAUUUGGGUGCAUUCGGAGAAUUGCAAAGCCGGUAGUUAAAAAAGAGCCUAUUACAUCAGAUAUAUUAAAGACAUUUUAUCACACUUUUGUUUCUGAGAGCGAUUGUUCUUUGGGGUAUUUAAGAGGCGUUACAAUCUUUUUCUUAUUUUAUGCUGUUUUUUUAGGAUAAGUGAAAUUUUGUCUGUUAAAAGAUCAGAUGUUGUAUUUUUAGAUACGCAUUGUGAUAUUAAAGUUGAAAAGUCAAAAACGGACAUUUUAAGAGAUGGUAAUACUGUUCUGAUUGCAAAAACUAAUACAGACACAUGACCUGUGAAAUUGUUUGAAAAGUAUUUGUGUGUUGCAGAUAUUGCAUGUUCAUAUACUGAUUAUGUGUUUAGACCAGUUUAUUAGUGUAAUGUUAAACACUGUUUCAAAUUGAUUUCUAAUAAUAAGCAUAUAAGUUAUUCUACUAUAAAUGAUAGUUUUAAGAAGAAGUUAAGUCUAUUGGGUUAUGUUUCUUCUAAAUAUGGACUUCAUUCUUUUCGUGCUGGUGGAGCAUCUAUAAGUGCCAAUAAUAAGACUGUGGAUAGACUUUGGCAAAGGCAUGGUAGAUGAAAAAGUGUUUCCACUAAGGACGGAUAUGUUAAAGAUUCUUUGAAAGACAGAUUAUCGGUGUCGCUAAAUUUAGAUUUGUGAAAAGUCAUUAUUAAUGUAUGUGUGAUUUGAAAUGUAUGAUGUGUUGUUCGUAGCACAUUUAAAGACACUAUAAUAUAUUAUUAUAUAAAUGGUUUGGAAAUGCUUUUGAGUAUUAUUAAGUUCUGUGUUUGUGUUGUGUGUAUGUUCCUUGUGGUCAUUGGACCAAUUUGUUUACGGCCAUUUGGCCUGAUUUGGUAAGCCAGUUGGCUUGUAUGGUCAGUUGACCGUUUUUUAAAGCAAGUUGAUCUGAUGUGUGAAAGCCGGUUGGCUUUUGUGAGUUGAACUUAUUUUCUUAAAAAGCAUGUUCACAUGGAAUUAACAAUCUUUGCAAGUUUAUUUUUUGCAGUGCAGUAACUGGACAGUACGAAUGGUAUAUUAAGUAUUGGGGAAUAUAAAGGUAUGGUUUAUGUAGUAUGUUAUUAUUAUUAUAAGGAUUAUGAUUAUGAUAUUUUUUAUUUCCGUUUUAAUGUUUAUCAUUAAUUUUGUAAAUAUUGUUUUAUUAUAUCUGUUUAAUUCUCUUGUGCAUUAUUCGAUUGGUCAUUUGACCGUUUGUGAAGGCCAGAGUGUGCCUGAUGUUGAUUCGCCGUUUGGCUUGUGUGGUCAUUUGACCGUUUGUGAAGGCCAGAGUGUGCCUGAUGUUGAUUAGCCGUUUGGCUUGUGUGGUCAUUUGACCGUUUGUGAAGGCCAGAGUGUGCCUGAUGUUGAUAAGCCAGUUGGCUUGUGUGGUCAGUUGACCGUUGUUGAAGGCCAUAGUGUGCCUAUUUUGAUUGAAUUAAUUUUAUUGCUUUUACAAAUGUUUGUAAUUGUAUCUUUUCAGUUAAAACACAGUUCGAGAGGUAUAUAACGUGGUGGAGAAUAUUUAGGUAUUCAUUUUAUGUUUUAUAUUAUUUGUAUUCUCUCUUUGUUUUAUUCGAAAGUCCUGUCAAAUACAAGCACUCACUCCUAUUUUGUCUUUGGUUUAUUAUUUGUUUGAUAAUGAUAAUGAUGAUGAUAUGGGUUAUAAAGAUGAUGAGAUUUUAAUAGUAUUUUGAGAAUAGAGAAUAAUAAAUUUACUCAUAACUAUGAGUAAAUGAAAUUAUUCUCGGUUUGAGAAAUACGGUAUAGUAUGGUUUAAUACGUGUUAUUUAGAAGAGAGAUUAUGGUAAUGGUUUAGCGCGUAUAAUGCACGGGUUUUGUGUGCAUGUUUUAGCGCGAAAGCGCACGAGUUUUUCGUUUUGGGUUAUAUAUGAUUUGCACAUCUAGUGAGACGCCAUUCGAGGGUUGUUUUUGACAGGCAAAGUUAUGGAGCAAGAAAACGAAAGGGUGAUAACCCCGCCCGCCCUCCCUUAAUGAACAUAUGUAUGGUUAAAUAAUUGGUUACAUUGCUUUUAUGUUUAUAAUUUUGCUAUUAUAAAGUCUAUAUUUAGUAUAUUUUCAGUUCGGUUUUUAGUCCAUGUGAGAUGGGAUCUUAACACGAACCGAUUUCUUUACUAGGAAAGACGAUGGGUGAAUUUUCAUUAAAGUCUGAAGCAGCUAAGUUUUCUUGAUUAUUUUGACUCAUUUGUUACUUAAUAUUGUGUUUGAAUGAGGUCUUUUAAGUUAUGGGUGUCAUGUUUUUCGAGACUCUCACUUCCUGGAGAUAGUACCUCCAGCAUACUUAUUGAAAUAUUGGUAUGUUUAAAUGUCAAGUGUUAUUAUUUUUUGUUGUAGUUCGUAAUGAACGUUUAAUUUUAAAGACAUUUUUAUUGUACGAUUACUUAAUAUUUUCAUUUUGGUGUGACUGGUUAGAUGUUGAAGUCGGUUUAAUAUAGCUGUUAAAUUCGUCAUAUGCAUUUAUAUAUUUCUCGGAAUAUUUAUGAUUUAUCAACAUUCUUUAUAGAUGCUUUAUGGAUUGAGUGAUUUGUUUGUUUCUUGCUGAUGUCCGGGGUGUGUGCAGGAUGCUUUUGAUGUUUGUUUGUUAUGUUAACUUGCGCAAUGAAUUGAUAAUGUUUUAAUUACAUUUUUUACUAUAAAAUACUUAAUGUUACAGUAUCUUAAUAGCUGCUUAUUUGUAGAUUUCUCUAAAUUAGAGGUUUCGGGAGGUGAUGAAGGCACCUAGACACCGGUCUCGAGCCAUGGGUCCUCAUACGUCCCCCUGCCAUUAAAAGAAAAAAUAAGAAAACAAAAAUGGCAGUAGGGUUGCGUAUCCCGCUCGCGGUUUUACCUGAAUCGUUUAUUACUACUGAGUAUUGUAUGGGGUGUACGUGAAGUCAUGUACACUUCUCUUGAUUGGUGGUGGUAGAUGAAUCUUGCAGAUAUUAGCAGCUUCUUUGAACAAAUUAAUGUUUUACAUUUGUUAAUUUAUAAUAUUUAAGCAAGUUAGCGUGAUUGAUGGGCAUUGGGGGCGUCCUGUGUGCACUGUGGGCAUCGGCGGGGAUCAGUUUAUUCAAACAGUAACUCUUUUUUGAGAUAUAUACUUGACGUCUAAUUGUUAUGAAUACAUUUGCACUUUUUCACAUGACACACAUGUGUAUGUGAAGUAUUCAUAAUUACAUGCCCUACAGCAUUUAAAUAGUAUCGUUUCAGUUCUUUAUACACCUGAACAAAGAUGUUACACCGUUUCCAGUCGUCUCGAGAUUCCUCAACUGAGCGGUGCCGUUGAGGUCUAUAUCCAUUGCGCAUACAACAUAUACGGGCUUCAGAAGAAUUGUUUUUUUGCAUUUAUUUGUUGAAAGUCCUGUCAAAUACAAGCACUCACUCCUA